CUCCUCUUUAAAAUACUUUUUGUCUCCAGUACAUUUGAACGCUACUGAAUGUGUAACAUAUUUCUAGCAAAGAUGAGAUAAAAAAGAAGUAACUUAGAAAGGAGUCUAAAACAGUAACACGGCAACAACAACAACAACAACCCACCAGAGUAACACGGCAACAACACUUAUCUAAAAUGCUGGAUCUUUGCAUAGUUGAUUUUGGUUUUACUGUUUUAAUGCAUUCAGUUAACCUUAUCUUCAUAAUCGUGAUACUCAAUUGUGUCUAUCUAUAUUACGUGAUGCUGGUGUAUACGCCAUAGAGUCUCUUCUCUAUC
Molecule: long non-coding RNA, 317 nt
Filed under: Nicotiana benthamiana
Lineage: Eukaryota; Viridiplantae; Streptophyta; Magnoliopsida; Solanales; Solanaceae
Description: long non-coding RNA (NBEN_LNC013540)
Source: RNAcentral